UGAGGAAUCUUGCGCAAUGGGGGCAACCCUGACGCAGCCACGCCGCGUGCUGGAAGAAGGUCCUAUGGAUCGUAAACAGCUUUUCUACGGGAAGAAGGGGUCCCGAUUCGUCGGGACUUGACGGUACUGUAGGAAUAAGCACCGGCUAACUCCGUGCCAGCAGCCGCGGUAAUACGGAGGGUGCAAGCGUUGUCCGGAAUCAUUGGGUGUAAAGGGUGCGUAGGCGGAGCUUUAAGUCUGCGGUGAAAUCUUGCCGCUUAACGGUAAAAGUGCCGUGGAAACUAGAGCUCUUGAGUGUAGCAGAGGCCGGUGGAAUUCGUGGUGUAGCGGUGAAAUGCAUAGAUAUCACGAAGAACACCAGUGGCGAAAGCGGCCGGCUGGGCUACGACUGACGCUGAGGCACGAGAGCGUGGGGAGCGAACA
RNAcentral lists this ribosomal RNA (423 nucleotides) under uncultured bacterium. RNAcentral describes it as "bacterial SSU rRNA". It matches the Rfam family "Bacterial small subunit ribosomal RNA", at positions 355 to 774 of the family's 1533-position model. The record is from RNAcentral.